GUUGCGGUAAAAAGCUCCCUAGUUGGAUUUCUGUUGAGGACGACCGGUCCAUACCACGUAUGCGCAUCUGGCUCGGCCUCGGCAUCCUCUCGAAAGACGUUUCUGCGCUUGAUUGCGUGGGACGGAUUCCGGGACUUUUACUUUGAGGAAAUUAGAGUGUUCACGGCAGGCUAUCGCCAGAAUAUAUUAGCAUGGAAUAAUACUAUAGGAUCUUGGUUCUAUUUUGUUGGUUUCUAGAGCUGAGAUAAUGAUUAAUAGGGACAAUUGGGGGCAUUCGUAUCAACACGUCAGAGGUGGAAUUCUUGGAUUGUGUUGCGACGAACUACUGCGAAAGCAUUUGCCAAGGAUGUUUUCAUUGAUCAAGAACGAAAGUAAGGGGAUCGAAGAUGAUUAGAUACCGUCGUAGUCUUUACCAUAAACUAUGCCAACUAGAGAUGGGGCAUCGUUCACUUACGACUUGCUCCGCACCUUAUGAGAUA
Molecule: ribosomal RNA, 479 nt
Filed under: uncultured alveolate
Lineage: Eukaryota
Description: SSU rRNA
Rfam family: Eukaryotic small subunit ribosomal RNA
Source: RNAcentral